CAGAAAGUAGUUUAUGAGAACGGCGGCUUUGGGGGUUGCAGGUGGGAGAAAGACAUGCUCUCUUUUUUGA
This 70-nucleotide transfer RNA is filed under the name Henricia sp. EK-2003. Its description in RNAcentral is "tRNA-Pro". Lineage: Eukaryota; Metazoa; Echinodermata; Asteroidea; Spinulosida; Echinasteridae. The record is from RNAcentral.